RNAcentral lists this ribosomal RNA (403 nucleotides) under Fusobacteriota bacterium. RNAcentral describes it as "Fusobacteria bacterium partial 16S ribosomal RNA". It matches the Rfam family "Bacterial small subunit ribosomal RNA", at positions 355 to 776 of the family's 1533-position model. Lineage: Bacteria; Fusobacteriati; Fusobacteriota. The record is from RNAcentral.
UGGGGAAUAUUGCACAAUGGAGGGAACUCUGAUGCAGCGACGCCGCGUGAACGAAGAAGGCUUUCGAGUCGUAAAGUUCUUUUAUAUGGGAAGAUAAUGACGGUACCAUAAGAAAAAGCCCCGGCUAACUACGUGCCAGCAGCCGCGGUAAUACGUAGGGGGCUAGCGUUGUCCGGAAUCACUGGGCGUAAAGGGUUCGCAGGCGGAAAUGCAAGUCAGGUGUAAAAGGCAGUAGCUUAACUACUGUAAGCAUUUGAAACUGCAUAUCUUGAGAGGAGUAGAGGUAAGUGGAAUUUUUAGUGUAGCGGUGAAAUGCGUAGAUAUUAAAAAAAAUACCGGUGGCGAAGGCGACUUACUGGGCUCAUUCUGACGCUGAGGAACGAAAGCGUGGGUAGCAAACAGG